UUUAGCAACUGCUAUGGCACAAGCACCAGCUAACCAAAGUAUGUGCUGGAUCAUAGGAAGAUGAUGGGUCGUAGAGUGGAGGGGCAUGCAGGACAAUGGGAACUGCGAGUAGGACUUUGGCUGGUAUAGUAGCCCCAUGGUACAUCUGGGAUGAAAUCUACCUAGAGUUAUAGGUUUGGUCCUUGUUUUUCAAGGUGGCUGGGAUGAGCCCUUGGGCGCCUCAGGUGCCUGUAUCACCCACUCCUCCCUACCAAAGGGGGCAUUUUCCUACAGGAGGACACCUUGCUGUAUGUCCUUUCCCAUGUCUCUUGCAAGAAGCUCAGUUCCAUUUGCAGACUCAGGUCUUUCUUCAAGUCAGCCUUCAGACGCUGACUGGGACGACCUGUGGGACCAGUUUGAUGAGCGGCGGUAUCUGAAUGCCAAAAAGUGGCGCGUUGGUGACGACCCCUAUAAGCUGUAUGCUUUCAACCAGCGAGAGAGUGAGCGGAUCUCCAGCAAUCGGGCCGUCCCGGACACUCGCCAUCUGAGAUGCACGCUGCUGGUGUAUUGCACGG
RNAcentral lists this small RNA (554 nucleotides) under Pan troglodytes (chimpanzee). RNAcentral's name for it is "processed transcript". The record is from RNAcentral. Lineage: Eukaryota; Metazoa; Chordata; Mammalia; Primates; Hominidae.